Molecule: long non-coding RNA, 419 nt
Filed under: Vigna radiata
Lineage: Eukaryota; Viridiplantae; Streptophyta; Magnoliopsida; Fabales; Fabaceae
Description: long non-coding RNA (VRAD_LNC003005)
Source: RNAcentral
AGACAACGGUGUAGAGAUGGCGCGACCAGGAGACGUUCGCGGUGGCGCAUGAGUCGUUCUUCUUCUUUUUCGUUUUGGGUUCAUCUUUGGCAAGAAAGCGGAGGCUCUCUUCUUCCUUUCUUUCUUUUCGAGUUCAGAUGUGAUUUGACGUAGGGAGGGGCAGUUGACGCGACUUUGUCCCCAUGGCGUGACGGUCCCUGUUCAUGGAGGUGGCAACAACAGCGUCUCUGCAAGGUUUCUAACUCGAACAACUUUGUAGCACAGGGAUUCAUUCUCGCUGUUGACACGUCUCAUGAUUUAGGGUUUCGAUUUAGGGCUUUUACGAGAACUCUGUUGCUUUCCAAAUUCAUUAUGGCUUUGUGUUUUCCUUAGGGCGAGAAUGCUCUGCGUCUCGAGCAGAGGCACAACCUACAACGGCG